UGAUGUGUGUAUUGUUUUGUUAUGUUUUUCUUACGUUAGAUUUAGGUUUUGUAAGUUGGAAGCAAUUCUUCUAUCAUAGAAAUUCUAUGUUCUACGUACAUUUGUUAUUUUUCAACUUGGUUUUUUUUAUUUGUUUAUUAUUUUGUGUAGUACCAAAGGUAAACUUUCACGUUGCUGGCCACCUUAAAUUAUCCUUCUCAAUAGCUAAAAAGAAAAACUUAUACUAUGCUGUUCACACGUAAGUUCUUGGUCUUAUGGACAUUAUUUGUGUGAAUCCUGAGUAAAUGAAAAAUGUAUGAGCUCAAAAUUAAAAUAC
Molecule: long non-coding RNA, 316 nt
Filed under: Brassica napus (rape)
Lineage: Eukaryota; Viridiplantae; Streptophyta; Magnoliopsida; Brassicales; Brassicaceae
Description: long non-coding RNA (BNAP_LNC009613)
Source: RNAcentral